GCGGGCGUAGCUCAAUUGGUAGAGCAUCAGCCUUCCAAGCUGAAUGUUGCGCGUUCGAGCCGCGUCGCCCGCU
This 73-nucleotide transfer RNA is filed under the name Phycisphaerales bacterium. RNAcentral describes it as "tRNA-Gly". It matches the Rfam family "tRNA". From Rfam's summary of the family: Transfer RNA (tRNA) molecules are approximately 80 nucleotides in length. Their secondary structure includes four short double-helical elements and three loops (D, anti-codon, and T loops). The record is from RNAcentral. Lineage: Bacteria; Pseudomonadati; Planctomycetota; Phycisphaerae; Phycisphaerales.